CUUUGGUGUUUAUGACGGCCAUGGGGGUAAGAAUUGGGAGGUUCAGGUAUUUUUGUAUGUGCUAUGUGACCAUUUUUACUUCCUUAAAUGCAGUUCACUUGAUUCUGCAAAAUUUCUGGUUUUAUUGUUUUAGUAUCAGGACUUAUUUUUUUAAAAUGAAAAAUAAAAGUGAUCUCUGUGGUGUUUUGCUGUGGACUUUCGAUGAAUCUUUAUUGCCAUUUUGAUUUAUGUUUCAAAUUGUGCUUAAAUUUAUGUGACACAUAUCAAAGUAUGUGAUGUGGUAAUUGUGAAGUGAAUGAAUCUGUUUAAUGAAAAUCUAGAUGUUGGGCAAAAUGACUUAGAAUCUUUGGGCUCCUACAUUUUUAUUUAUUUAUUUAUU
This 379-nucleotide unclassified non-coding RNA is filed under the name Hevea brasiliensis (rubber tree). Lineage: Eukaryota; Viridiplantae; Streptophyta; Magnoliopsida; Malpighiales; Euphorbiaceae. The record is from RNAcentral.